This 253-nucleotide ribosomal RNA is filed under the name uncultured bacterium. RNAcentral describes it as "partial 16S ribosomal RNA". It matches the Rfam family "Bacterial small subunit ribosomal RNA", at positions 524 to 776 of the family's 1533-position model. The record is from RNAcentral.
UACGAGGGGGGCAAGCGUUGUUCGGAAUUAUUGGGCGUAAAGGGUGCGUAGGUGGUUUGUUAAGUCUGCUGUGAAAUCCCCGGGCUCAACCUGGGAAUGGCAGUGGAUACUGGCAAGCUAGAGUGCGGUAGAGGGUAGUGGAAUUCCCGGUGUAGCAGUGAAAUGCGUAGAGAUCGGGAGGAACACCAGUGGCGAAGGCGGCUACCUGGACCAGCACUGACACUGAAGCACGAAAGCGUGGGGAGCAAACAGG